AAUGAACGCUGGCGGCAGGCCUAACACAUGCAAGUCGAACGGUAACAGGAAGCAGCUUUCUGCUUUUCUAGCGGGGAGCGGACGGGUGAGUCAUGUGUGGGAAACCGCCCGCUGGGGGGGGAUAACUACUGGAAACGGUUACUAAUACCGCAUAACGCCUGCAGCACAAAGAGGGGGGCCUUAGGGCGUCUUGUCAUCGUGUAUGCCCAGAUGGGAAUAGCUAGUAGGUGGGGUAACGGCUCCCCUAGGCGAACAUCCGUAGGUGGUCUGAGGGGAUGACCAGCCACACUGGAACUGAGACACGGUCCAGACUCCUACGGGAGGCAGCAGUGGGGAAUAUUGCACAAUGGGCGCAAGCCUGAUGCAGCCAUGCCGCGUGUAUGAAGAAGGCCUUCGGGUUGUAAAGUACUUUCAGCGGGGAGGAAGGGAGUAAAGUUAAUACCUUGGCUCAUUGACGUUACCCGCAGAAGAAGCACCGGCUAACUCCGUG
This 490-nucleotide ribosomal RNA is filed under the name uncultured bacterium. Its description in RNAcentral is "partial 16S ribosomal RNA". It matches the Rfam family "Bacterial small subunit ribosomal RNA", at positions 29 to 507 of the family's 1533-position model. The record is from RNAcentral.